This 263-nucleotide long non-coding RNA is filed under the name Cavia porcellus (domestic guinea pig). RNAcentral's name for it is "lncRNA (ENSCPOG00000033942.1)". Lineage: Eukaryota; Metazoa; Chordata; Mammalia; Rodentia; Caviidae. The record is from RNAcentral.
CAGCUAUGCAAAACUGCGUAACCUAGUUUAUUACCCAAGUCUUGUUUCCUCAGCGAGAUUCCAUGAGUAUUGCAGACUCGCGCCAGUUUCUCAUCCCUGCGGAUAAAUGGCCUUGACACCCUCGCUGGGACCGAGUGCCCUGAAUGUGCUUCUCAACCUCUCAUGCACUGUGCACAGGUGGCAGUUAAUGUCUUCAAGAGAACCAACUCCCCAAAGUCUUCUACAUCCAGACAGAUACUUGCAUUUUCUCUUCUUUAAGGUAA